GUCUAUAGCCGUACCACCCUGAACAUGCCCAAUCUUGUCUGAUCUCGGAAGCUUAGCAGGGUCAGGCCUGGUUGAUACUCGGAUGGGAGAAGACC
This 95-nucleotide ribosomal RNA is filed under the name Chinchilla lanigera (long-tailed chinchilla). The record is from RNAcentral. Lineage: Eukaryota; Metazoa; Chordata; Mammalia; Rodentia; Chinchillidae.